Molecule: ribosomal RNA, 853 nt
Filed under: uncultured bacterium
Lineage: Bacteria
Description: bacterial SSU rRNA
Rfam family: Bacterial small subunit ribosomal RNA
Source: RNAcentral
CAAGUCGAGGGGUAUCCGUUUUCGGACGGAGAGACCGGCGCACGGGUGCGUAACGCGUAUGCAACCUACCUUUUACAGGGGAAUAGCCCAGAGAAAUUUGGAUUAAUGCCCCAUGGUAUAUUUUUAGGGCAUCCUAAGGAUAUUAAAGUUCCAACGGUAAAAGAUGGGCAUGCGUCCUAUUAGCUAGAUGGUAAGGUAACGGCUUACCAUGGCUACGAUAGGUAGGGGUCCUGAGAGGGAGAUCCCCCACACUGGUACUGAGACACGGACCAGACUCCUACGGGAGGCAGCAGUGAGGAAUAUUGGACAAUGGGCGCAAGCCUGAUCCAGCCAUGCCGCGUGCAGGAAGACGCAUCUAUGGUGUGUAAACUGCUUUUGUACGGGAAGAAACACCUCUACGUGUAGAGGCUUGACGGUACCGUAAGAAUAAGGAUCGGCUAACUCCGUGCCAGCAGCCGCGGUAAUACGGAGGAUCCAAGCGUUAUCCGGAAUCAUUGGGUUUAAAGGGUCCGUAGGCGGCUAGAUAAGUCAGUGGUGAAAUCCCAUCGCUCAACGAUGGAACGGCCAUUGAUACUGUCUGGCUUGAAUUAUUAGGAAGUAACUAGAAUAUGUAGUGUAGCGGUGAAAUGCUUAGAUAUUACAUGGAAUACCAAUUGCGAAGGCAGGUUACUACUAGUUGAUUGACGCUGAUGGACGAAAGCGUGGGGAGCGAACAGGAUUAGAUACCCUGGUAGUCCACGCCGUAAACGAUGGAUACUAGCUGUUCGGAGCAAUCUGAGUGGCUAAGCGAAAGUGAUAAGUAUCCCACCUGGGGGAGUACGUUCGCAAGAAUGAAACUCAAAGGAAUUGACGG